CGGGGGCCGGGCAGCGGCGAGGCCGGGGACCGGGUCGGGGCAGCGGGAGCGGCCCGGGAGGAGGACCCGGUGGUAAAUGGACCAACUGGAAUGGAGUCUUUGUGAGGGCUGGCUCAUUGACCAAUGCAGUGCCUAGCAGCUCCUACACAGGAAGAGGCAAAGAUGAGUGGGGGAGGGGAACAGGUCGACAUCUUGCCCGUGGCCUUUGUUGUCAAAGAGCGCUGGAAAGUGCUGAAGAAGAUUGGUGGAGGUGGAUUUGGGGAGAUUUAUGAGGCGACAGACUUGUUAAUCCGUGAGAAUGUUGCUCUGAAAGUGGAGUCUGCCCAGCAACCCAAACAGGUACUCAAGAUGGAGGUGGCAGUCCUGAAAAAACUCCA
Hemiscyllium ocellatum (epaulette shark) is the source of this 377-nucleotide long non-coding RNA. RefSeq lists it as uncharacterized. The record is from RefSeq and is a predicted model, not a curated record. Lineage: Eukaryota; Metazoa; Chordata; Chondrichthyes; Orectolobiformes; Hemiscylliidae. The transcript has 3 exons.